GGGAGGUGUCCCUGCCCAGGGCAGGGGAGUUGGAAUUAGAUGGUCUUUAAGGUCCCUUCCAACCCCAGCCAUUCUGUGACUCUAUGAUUCUAUAUGCAUUCCCUGUUUGCUUUUGCAGCUUACUCAAUCUUCUCCUUAAGUAAAAGUAGAAAGACACAGCCUUUCCCCCAGGAGGACAGAGAAAUAAGAUUGAUAGUAAUCAGAUGUAAUUUACAAUUAGGUUCUGUGUUUAAAUAUACCAGUCCAGUGAAGAAAAUAA
Long non-coding RNA from Oxyura jamaicensis (ruddy duck), 259 nucleotides. RefSeq lists it as uncharacterized. The transcript has 2 exons. The record is from RefSeq and is a predicted model, not a curated record. NCBI's taxonomy places the organism in Eukaryota, Metazoa, Chordata, Aves, Anseriformes, Anatidae.